UUCAGCCGUAGCCCUUUCUUUCCCAAAGCCUUCCACCAUUGUUACUCACUUUAAGCUUAAAUUUCCUUAAAAUCUCACCAUAUUUCCCAUAAUUAGCUUCAUAAAAACUGAAUAUCUACCCUAGCUAGAGUGCUUGGAAGUAAAAAGGAAGCAAGAAUCUUGAAGUUGGCAAGAAAGAGACUUGGCUAAAUUAAGGUACUGGAGAUCCCGAUCGUGAGCCCAGUAGACCACAGACUGGGUGAGUCCAUCUGACAGUUCUGCUCAGUGUCCGUGUCACCUCACUACCUGCAGUGCAUCGGUAGGGCACUAGGUGUCAUUUUGUCAUUUUGAUAUUUUGUAGCAGAUUUGUAUUUUCUCAUAUGUAUUUGAACUCAUGUAAUAUAUUUUGAUGGUUAUGUAAAUAAUGAAAGUUAUGACUAUGAAUGCAAGAUUUAAGCAUGUAUUUAUUGCUUGUAUAUGAGAAAUGGAUGUUGAGAAAUGAAAAGGUUGUUGAAACCUGAAACUGAAAAAUUGUUGAAACCUUGA
Molecule: long non-coding RNA, 525 nt
Organism: Hevea brasiliensis (rubber tree)
Lineage: Eukaryota; Viridiplantae; Streptophyta; Magnoliopsida; Malpighiales; Euphorbiaceae
Exons: 2
Source: RefSeq, a predicted model, not a curated record